This 142-nucleotide small RNA is filed under the name Parageobacillus caldoxylosilyticus. Its description in RNAcentral is "Geobacillus caldoxylosilyticus c-di-AMP sequence". It matches the Rfam family "c-di-AMP riboswitch aptamer (ydaO/yuaA leader)". Rfam says of the family: This family represents a conserved RNA structure found upstream of the ydaO and yuaA genes in Bacillus subtilis and related genes in other bacteria. The ydaO/yuaA element is thought to act as a genetic "off" switch for the ydaO and yuaA genes in its native state. It is believed that the element may be triggered during osmotic shock leading to activation of ydaO, a predicted amino acid transporter gene, and members of the yuaA-yubG operon which code for KtrA and KtrB K+ transporters. Lineage: Bacteria; Bacillati; Bacillota; Bacilli; Caryophanales; Anoxybacillaceae. The record is from RNAcentral. RNAcentral also lists the same sequence under 1 other name.
AUAGGGAAAUCGCUGAAUCCUUAAUGGAGCGGGGGACCCAAUGUUGUAACGUCCGUUACUUGGGGUGAAUCCUGAAAAGGAAGGGCUAUCUCUCCAUGCCCUAACCCGACAGCUAACCUCGUAAGCGUUCUGGGGAGGGAUG